GGUCCUGCCUGCCCCGUGACCAUGAGUUUAACGGCCGCGGUAUUUUAACCGUGCGAAGGUAGCGCAAUCACUUGUCCUUUAAAUGAAGACCAGUAUGAAAGGCAAGACGAGGGCUUAGCUGUCUCCUCUUUUAAGUCAAUGAAAUUGAUCUCCCCGUGCAGAAGCGGGGAUAAAAACAUAAGACGAGAAGACCCUGUGGAGCUUUAGACGCCAAGACAAACCAUGUUAAGGACCCCAAGACAAAGGACUGAACUAAGUGGGAUCUUGCUCUAAUGUCUUUGGUUGGGGCGACCACGGGGGAAAAAAUAACCCCCACGUGGAAUGGGAGUACUCCUCCCCCACAACUAAGAGCUGCAACUCUAAGUAACAGAACAUCUGACCUUAAGAUCCGGCUCCCAUGCCGAUCAACGGACCGAGUUACCCCAGGGAUAACAGCGCAAUCCCCUUUUAGAGCCCAUAUCGACAAGGGGGUUUACGACCUCGAUGUUGGAUCAGGACAUCCUAAUGGUGCAGCCGCUAUUAAGGGUUCGUUUGUUCAACGAUUAAAGUCCUACGUGAUC
RNAcentral lists this ribosomal RNA (560 nucleotides) under Platycephalus endrachtensis (bar-tailed flathead). Its description in RNAcentral is "partial 16S ribosomal RNA". It matches the Rfam family "Bacterial large subunit ribosomal RNA", at positions 1851 to 2605 of the family's 2925-position model. The record is from RNAcentral. Lineage: Eukaryota; Metazoa; Chordata; Actinopteri; Perciformes; Platycephalidae.